Molecule: long non-coding RNA, 9334 nt
Filed under: Salvia miltiorrhiza (redroot sage)
Lineage: Eukaryota; Viridiplantae; Streptophyta; Magnoliopsida; Lamiales; Lamiaceae
Description: long non-coding RNA (SMIL_LNC000685)
Source: RNAcentral
UUGGAAAAAUUUCUUCAAGUUAUAAAUAACUUGAAGAAUGCCUUAUGGCGAAAUUACUAAACGGAGAAUGACACUCACGUUCAAUACCUUUACAAAGGACUAGGUAUUGAACACCAUACACUCUCACUAACAAACUAAACUGGAUUCAAGAGCUAUACUCCGAAAUCCAACAAAACACAGAAUGCUAUAACUAAUGUUAUCCCAACACGAGAAACAGCACUCCUAAACAGAUCACUCAAAAGCUAGAUAUCUUCUCUCAAAGUUCGUGAUCUGAACUGGGACUUCUCCUUGGUAUAUAUAGGCAUCUCAAUCUUGCUUCCCAAGGCUUGAAGUCGUGGCUUGGAUCAUGGAUGAAGUGGCCGUUUGAUAGUUGUUGGAUUUAGUCCACUUCUUCCUUGAUUUUAGGAGCUGCCACACGCUCCUUUCUCUCUCUCUUUAUCUCUACUUGUUCCUUCCUUUUCUCAACAGAAUUUGUUCCUUCUUUUCCUCCUUCAUCCUUCACGUCUUCCAUCAUUUCUUGACUCGGUCCAAACACCUAAAAACACACAAUGAAGAAAGAGCAAAACACACUUAUUCAAGACUAACAAACUCCCCCUUUUUGCCUUUCUUCACAAAACCAACACACAUACUUCUCCCCCUUGAUGUGAUCUCCCCCUGCAAAGAUAACAGUACAAAACACACCAACAAGAACAGCAGCAAACAUACUAAACUUUCAAGAAACAGGGUAAAAACCGUCAACUAGCAAGAAUGCAUAAGCAAGUCAAAGACCCAACAAUCAAACACAACAAAAGAAACAACUUAAGCAUCCAACAAACAAACAAAAAAAAAGCUAGUAAAAGUUCUAGUGAAAGUUCAUCAAAUGUUCUGCCUGCUCAAACAACAUUCAUCAAGCAACACCACUCCCCCUGACUUUACUCUCCUGUUCCCUCAGCAGCAUCAGCAGCAGCAUCUUCUCCCCCUUUUUGGGAAGAAAGGAGGGCAGUUAACUGUCCUUUGGCUUUAUUCAGGAUUGACGAUGACUCCCCCUGAAUUCUUCGGGCUUGCAGAAGGCUGUUCUCCAAUUCGUCGAUAUGCUGCAACAGGGCCUGCAAUGUUGCCUUAGGGAUUGUGAUCAUGGUAGUGUCCUCAACAGAGGGAGCAGCAACUGGAUUAACCCAGGGCAGAUCAGCAACUUUGCCCUCGCUAAAGAGCAUGCUCGUAAGCGCAUACUCAUGAAUGACCUCCCUCUUGGCAGACGCUUUCACCUGUACACCUUGACUCCGAAGUGCCCUGAAAAUCAAAGAGGGGAACGGCAACCCCGACAAUUGAGAAGAAGCGGCAAUUUGAUCAAAGAUAACCUGACCUAGAUUAAAUGGCAAUCCUUCUCCAAUGCAAUAUAGAAGAAUGCCGUGCUGUUGUGUAACCACGGUGGAGUUGGUUGACACAAUCCAAUUCAUGGUCAUGAUCUUGAACAAAGCAGAAUAAAGAUAGGACAAGGUGGAUGAUUUCAUUGGCUUUAACCAUUUCCGCACUUUCCCACCAGUGAUGACUGAGGCCACUUUGUCCAUGUUCUUUACCGCUGUGGGCUUCACAUCAGGCGUGCCAAGAAUUCCAUUGAUGACCGAAGGCGUCAAAUUAAAGACCGUGUUCCUGUAAAAAGCUUUCCCGUACUUCCGGGACUUUGGAUUUCCGAAAUCGGCUGUCAAGUUGCUAUAUAUCAGCUGCACCACUGCUUUAACAAACGGCUCUACCUCCGUCACGGACUUGAACAGAUGGCGAGAUUUGAAGAACUCCACCAGAUUGAGCACUUUAAAUGAAUCUUGCUCGAUGUUCCGCUCACCAUAACAUUCCAUCUUCUUGAUAUUUGGCCAAGACUUCUCUGCAGCAGCAGUGUAGAAGAAGUCCUUGAAAGUUUUGCUAGCCUCCAUGUCGGAGCCUUCGAGUUCCUCGUCUUCUACGUCCAUGUCUUCUUCCUCCGACUCUGUGGCAUCUGGUGUUGUGGGCGCAGCCGAGGUGGUAGCCUUCAUCUUUCCCUCACGAAUGGCUUUCCGUUUGAGCUUUGUCAACACCGCAGUGAGAGGUGUGUCAUCUUCGGAAGGGUUCUCUGCUGCUACUUCUGCUUCGGCCUCGUUGAGCAGAGUAUCAAGAGAUUGUUCCUGAGAAGGGACUGUGGUCUCCUCUGUUGGAGCAGCAGAUUCCUCAUCAGCGGUGGAGGUUUCUACCGUCGGGCCGGACUUGCGUGCUUGCUUGGCUGGGGGCUCGUCCUCUUCGGAUUCGUCAAGUAGCACCAUCUUCGGAGGUCCGGGUUUUGAAACCCUAGGUUGAGUGGGGAUUCGAUUUGACCUCCGUACCGCCUUGAGCUUGGGCCUAGAGGUUUCGGCCCCCUUCUUCUUGCGUUUAUUUGAGGAUUUUUCAGGUUCCCCUUGCUUCGCCGGUUUUUCGACCGGUGAAUCGGCAGAAUGCUCAAUGGUAGAAAUGGGCGCCGGAUUCAGCACCGCUUUUGGGACUUCCGGUGUUUGAGACAUCGGUGGUGGAGCGUAUCCGCUUGUUGUUGCUGGAGUUGUCAUCGGAGCAGGUAGUGACGGCAACGGUGGAACAGCUUGAUUUUCCGGCAAUGAGAUGGUGGCUAGGGCUGCUUGAAAUUGGGGAUUUGAUAAGAUCUGUCUAAUAAGCUCAAUAGUGUUUGGGUUAGACAUUUUGAGAGCACAAAAAGACUAAGUACAAAACGAGAGGAAACAAAGAGUCUCUCACGCAGAUCUAAGUGCAAUGAUGAAGAAUGGUGAUGAUGUGAUUUGCAUGCAGUGAAUAAAUACUACUCCCUCCGUCCCGCUAAAGUUGGCAACAUUCGUUUCGGCACGGUGUUGCUGGAGUUGUCAUCGGAGCAGGCAGGGACGGCAACGGUGGAACAGCUUGAUUUUCCGGCAAUGAGAUGGUGGCUAGGGCUGCUUGAAAUUGGGGAUUUGAUAAAAUCUGUCUAAUAAGCUCAAUAGUGUUUGGGUUAGACAUUAUGAGAGCACAAAAAGACUAAGUACAAAACGAGAGGAAGCAAAGAGUCUCUCACGCAGAUCUAAGUGCAAUGAUGAAGAAUGGUGAUGAUGUGAUUUGCAUGCAGUGAAUAAAUACUAAAGAAAUCAGAUCCAAUCACUAACAAACCAAAUCUUUCAAGAAAAUCUUCACCAUAAAAUUCGAAAAUUAGGGUUGGAAGGAGAUUAAGAUAGAGAUAUGCUCAAAUCAAGAACAAGAUAUGCGUAACAAAUUACAGAACCUGCGGAUCAGAGAGAGAAUCCCAUGAAAAUCGGAACCAAAAACUUCACAGAUUUUCCAGAAUUAUUAUAUCUAAUGUUCUGCCUUCUGUUAUAACAACAUCCCCUAACACAUAACUCAGUUAAACUUUAUUUCGCACUUAUAAGCACAGCACCAAGUAAAAUUCACUCAUUUUUAUUGACAUAGAGAACAUCGUCGCAGCGAACGCCGUGCCCCUAGUCUAAAUUUGUGAAAGCAAUCGAGGAUGGCCAUUUUGUAAGGUAGCAUCGUCGCAGCGAACGCCGUGCCCCCCAAACUACUUUGGCUUUUUCUGUGCUUUAUAUAUAUUAUACACACAAACUGAGUUAGUGAAGAAGAACGUGUUGAAACAACAUAGAGCAUCACACAGACAAAAAGACAGUUGCAUCUAAGAGUAUUUCUUUUGAAUCUGAUGCAACAAACAUUUCCUUUUUCAUUAGUUUCGAAGGCAAAGGCCAAGAGCCCUUCUUAACAUGGUGAAUCUCUCAAAAUCCAAAGGUUUAGUAAAAAUAUCCGCAAUUUGGUUCUCGGUUGGAACAUACUCUAACUUAAUUACCUCUUGUUCCACUAAAUCGCGAAUAAAGUGGUGUCGAAUAUCGAUGUGCUUGGUUCGUGAGUGUUGGACCGGAUUCUUUGAAAUGUUUAUUGCACUGAUGUUGUCGCAGUGCAUCACCAUCACAUCACUCGUCACACCGUAAUCUGACAACAUUUGUCUCAACCAAAGAAGUUGAGAGCAACAACAACCUGCAGCAACAUAUUCGGAUUCUGCAGUAGAGAGAGACACACAAUUUUGCUUUCUACUAUGCCACGACACCAAGUUAUUUCCAAGAUAAAAACACCCACCACUUGUACUUUUCCUAUCAUUAGUAUCCCCUGCCCAAUCUGAAUCACUAAAAGCUACAAGGUUCGUGUUAGAAUCUUUGGAGAAAAAAAUGCCAAGAUCAAGUGUGCCAGCCACAUACCUUAUCACACGUUUUACCGCUUUUAAAUGAGACUCUUUAGGAUCAGCUUGAUACCUGGCACAAACACAUACGCUGAACAUGAUAUCAGGUCGUGUUGCGGUGAGAUAUAGGAGGCUUCCAAUCAUUGAUCUGUAGAGUGUUGGGUCUACUGCCUCCCCAGCAUUGUCUUUCGACAGAGUGUCGCUUGAUCCCAUUGGCGUGCGCAUGUGCUUUGCACCUUCCAGAUUGAACCUCUUCACCAUAUCUCGUGCAUACUUCCCCUGUGAGAUGAAAAUUCCUUCCGGUUCUUGCUUGACUUGGAUCCCUAAAAAGAAUGUUAGUUCACCCACCAUGCUCAUCUCGAACGUGGUGGUCAUGGCCCUUGCAAAAUCAUCUAACAAAUGUUGUGAGGUAGCACCGACAAUCAUAUCAUCAACAUAGAUUUGAGUGAUCAAAAUAUCACUUCUUUCUCUUUUAAUAAACAAUGUCCUAUCAGCAUAACCUCUCACAAAUCCAAACUCAAGUAAGAAGGAAGUUAGAUGUCCAUACCAUGCUCGAGGGGCUUGUUUAAGGCCGUAGAGAGCCUUCUUUAGCCUGUAGACGUGGUGUGGUCUGUGUGGAUCUUCAAAACCUUUCGGCUGCUCUACAUACACCUCUUCUUUUAGGAUGCCGUUGAGGAAUGCUCCUUUAACAUCCAUUUGGUACAGCUUGAUGUUGAGAUGACACGCAAUUGCAAGAAGCAGCCGUAUUGACUCGAUGCGGGCGACUGGAGCAAAAGUGUCAUCGAAGUCAACACCUUCGACUUGGGUGUAACCUUGCGCCACAAGUCUCGCCUUGUUCCUCACUAUCGUCCCACACUCGUCUGAUUUGUUCUUGAAGAUCCACUUUGUGCCGAUCACAUUCCUGUCAGCAGGUCUAGACACAAGAUACCAAACAUCACUUCGAACAAACUGGUUAAGUUCAUCUUGCAUGGCUAGCAUCCAGAAUUCAUCACGUAAUGCCUCCUUGACUGUUUUUGGUUCAAAUUUCGAUACAAAACACAAAAACCUGGUAUAGACGUGCAAAGAGAAGACAUGCAAAUCAUCUUCCGGUAAUCAACUGGGGUUUACCUCUUGUGGUCAUGCCAUCACUUACAUUGCCAAUUACUUGGGAGGUUGGGUGAUUUUUGUGAAUCCUUCUGGAGGGUGCAUUAUUCACAUUUUCUCCUUGUUAUUGGGGGUUCCUUCUUCAUCGGUAUCACACUGUUCUUCUGGUGUUGUGGUGUGAUUUCUUCUGUUGCCUCAGCAUCUGCAGUUUCAUCCUCUGCUGGCAUCACAAUGUCCAUCACCUGCUCUUCUCUAUUAUUCUCAUCUGCAAUACUCCUCACAUCAUCAAAUACCACAUUUACAGAUUCUUGAAAGUUUGGCUUCUCAAGUUAAAGACUCGAUAGGCUUGACUAUUCAAUGAAUAUCCCAAAAAGAUACUUUGUCACUUUUUUCAUCAAACUUUGUGAGAUAUUCUCUGUCAUUCAGUAUAUGACACACACACCCAAAGACAUGAAAGUAUUUAGAUUUGGCUUCUUACCACGCAGAAUUUCAUAUGGAGUUUUGAACGUACCAGGUCUGAUGUUGACUCGAUUGUUGAUAUGCAUGCGGUGUUCACACUUCUGCCCAGAAGCUUGUGCAAUUUCUUUGAGCCAACAUCACUCUUGCCAUCUCCACCAGGGUUCGGUUCUUUCGUUCCACAACUCCGUUCUGCUGGGCGUCUUGGGGGCUGAGAAUUCUUGAAAAAUCCUUUCUUUCACAAAAAUUUGUGAAAGCCGCAUUCUCGAACUCACGUCCAUGGUCAGACCUUAUUCUUGCAUUCUCGCAAAACAUGUUAGUAAACCGGGCAAAGAGUGUUUUGAAAACAUCAAUAGUUUCAGAUUUUUCACGUAAGAAAAAGGUCCACGUAACUUGAAAAAUCAUCCACUAAGACAUACACAUACCGUUUACCUCCAAUACUUUCAACACCAACUGGUCCUACCAAAUCCAUGUGAACCAGUUCAAAGCAUCGGGUCGUACCAAAAUGUUGUUCAGCUUGUUGGGUAGCACGAUGGGUGGCAUGGAUCUGCUUCCCUUUUUGACAACUCUCACAACUUCUUUUCCUUUUGCUGAUUUUUGGGAGACCUCGGACUGCUUCCAAUUUGGACAACCUGUCAAGAUUCUUAAAAUUUGUGUGCCCUAACUUUUUGAUGCCACAACAUAGCUUUCAUCAAUUUGGGCUUUAUUGCAUUAGGAUCAUCGACAAGGUAACAGUUAUCACUAGAUCUUUGCCCUCUCAUUACACAACAAUUUUGAGUAUAAAAACCUCACAAGAGUCCUUGUUAAACUUAACAUGCAAAUUCUCAUCGCAUAGUUGACUAAUACUAAUCAAAUUUGCCAUAAGACCUUUAACAUGAAAACAUUUUUCAAACAAGGUAAGCCGGAACAUUUAGGUCCUUUACCAAUGAUCUUACCCUUCGACCACCACCAAAAGACACAAACCCACCAUCACAUACCUGAUAUUAUUAAGGUAGCAUUGUCACCUGUCAUGUGACGAGAACAUCCACUGUCGAAAUACCAUGAACUUGAGAUGUUAGUUUUCAGUGCUGUGAACACAACAUUACAUUUCAGUUCAUCUUUUCUGACCCACUUCAGACUUUUACGGCUUGUGGUGAUUUUUCUUCCCUUUGGUCUGUUUUCUUUGAGUUGACAAAGAUCUUCUUCUCGUCAUUGAACUUCCUGAAACAGAACGGUCGAAUGUGGCCAAUUUGAAAGCAAUAGUGACACACAUACCUCUUUCUUUGUGGUCGUGUCUGACCAACCGAAGUUCCUUCCACGACAAACUUCUUUCCAUGAGUAGAUUUUACCUUUGUCUUUCCAGGUGUGGGUUCAGCAGCGGGUGCAGCAGUGUAUCCAAGUCCAGUGGUGUCUGUAGUUCCUGCAGACACAAAAUCUUCAUACCUAUGCCGACUUGAAUUCCAUUUGGAAAUGGUGUUUUGAGCUUCCUCCUUGCUUUUUCCAUUUUCCCAGUAGUUCGUCAUAGAAUUUUUUAAGUUCCAUGACAACCAGCAUGGUCUCUUCGUUGCUCUCCUCAGUGUUACCUACACAUGCAUUAAAGCACAGACAAUUUGGAAAGAACCCUGUGUCAUACCUGUUUAACAGCUGGUCUCCUUCAUCAUCCUCAUCGUCGGACAAGGUUUUUCCAAACUUGACAUGGAAAGCUGACAGACCGGGAUCAUCAUCAUCUUCUUUUUCUUCCUUUGAGCUUUCCGAACCAUCGAAAAAUUCAGCCUCAUCAUCACUCCAAGACACCCAAUAUGAUUUGCCUCGUUUUCGAAGGGUGUUCGCACACUGGUUCGCAUAGUGACCAAACCCCUUGCACUCACGACAUUGAACAUUAUUGAUGAAAUUUGGAUCAUACCUGAAAGUUUCAGUCGUUGAGGCAACUUUCCUCAUUGGUCGUGGGGGUGUGAAGUCAUUCCUCUUAGGUGGUGCGGAAUCAUGCCUUGGAGAGCUUCCUUCUCGAUCAUUCUCUUUGGUCCGUCUAAGUUUUCUCACCAUAUUGUUGAACUUCCUUGUGAUGAGUGCAACAUCAUCUCCUUCGUGAAUCUCCUCCAAUUCUUCAGAAUCCUCUAGAUCACGUAUCUGAAGGAUGUGGCUGCUGGUUGUUGUCGUAGAUGAGCAUCCGGCAUUGAACGCAACAGCCUUCUUCUUGUGCAGCAAUCCUCUUUAUUCCAAUGUCAUCCGUCAAGCUCUGAUACCACUUGUUAGUGUUGCUUCCUUCAAACUUGAUGUGACACACUGUGCUUGCAACAUUCUGACUUGUUUCGAUGGCAGUAAUCUUCAUUUCAAAACGCGGUGGGAGCGUUCGUAGUGCUUUGGAGACAAGCACCCGAUUGCUGAUUGGAUCUCCGAGCUCACGACAUUCAUUAGCCACACUGAGUAUCCUCUUGGAAUACUCCUUGAUGUCUUCACCUUCAUCCAUCUUCAUGUUUUCGAACUUAGUGGUCAGGAGUCGCAGCCUUGUUUCUUUGACACUUGUGUCGCCCUCGCAAUGUCUCUGGAGUAUAUCCCAUUGUUCCUUGGCCGACGUGCUAUUCUUGAUGAGAUUGAACAUGUUCAUGUCCACGAAAGAAUAGAUAGCAUGCAUAGCCUUUUCGUUGAAAUUUGCCUCCUCGAACUCAGCUCGACUCCAUUGAGCAGGUGGUGUCAAGAUCACAUCACCAUGGGCAUCAGUGGUCUUGGGAGCAGACCACCCUUCUUCGACGCAGUGCCAGGCUUUAAGAUCGAUAGCCUUGAUGUACUGCCGGAUUCUUAUCCUCCAGGCCGAGUAGUUUGCACCAUCAAGGAUAGGAGGACGCAUAACACCAAACGGCUCCAUGUGGGAACAACUGUUGUAACAAUUGUGACGGUAAUUGUUGUAACAACACCAAGGAUCACACUCAGUGUAUCGAGUGUUGGCUCUGACGCCAAUUGAAAGUGUUGCUCCACACGAACCAAACGGAAACCUUGUGUUAAGGUAACACACCAAACAGCACAGAGUAAAACUUGCAGCGGAAAUAAAUCAACACAGAACUUUGGAAAAAUUUCUUCAAGUUAUAAAAUAACUUGAAGAAUGCCUUAUGGCGAAAUGACUAAAGGGAGAAUGACACUCACGUUCAAUACCUUUACAAUGGACUAGGUAUUGAACUCUAUACACUCUCACUAACAAACUCAAACUGGAUUCAAGAGCUACACUCCGAAAUCCAACAAAACAAAGAAUGCUAUAGCUAAUGUUAUCCUAACACGAGAAACAACACUCCUACACAGAUCACUCAAAAGCUUGAUAUCUUCUCUCAAAGUUCGUGAUCUGAACUGAACUCCUCCUUGGUAUUUAUAGAUCUUCAAAGCUUGAUCUCCAAGUGUGAGUUCGUGGGUUGGGAGGUGGAUGAGUGGUUGUUGAGUUAGUUGGAAGAAUCAGUCAACUCAAGCUACUCAUCCCUUUGAUUUAGGAGCUCCCAACAACUCCUCCUUUCUCUCUCCUUAUCUUCUCUUGCUCCUUCCUUCUCUCAACAGAAACGGUUCCUUCUUUUCCUCCUUCAACUUUCACGAUUUCCAUCUCUUGACUUGGUCACAACACCUACAAACACA